RNAcentral lists this long non-coding RNA (1170 nucleotides) under Canis lupus familiaris (dog). RNAcentral's name for it is "lncRNA (ENSCAFG00845000290.1)". The record is from RNAcentral. Lineage: Eukaryota; Metazoa; Chordata; Mammalia; Carnivora; Canidae.
CGCCGAGCCGCCCCAGCGUACGGCCAGGAGUGGGGAACCCUAAGCGACCCUUCGCGCCGGCUGUGGCCGCGCCCCCUCCCCGCCGCAGGCCACCGCCGCCAGCCUCCGCCGCCCGGUACCCCGACGUCACUUCCCCGGCAGGCAGAGCGCACGGCGGGCGGGGCUUCGGCCCGGGGUGGGGCCUGGCGGCGCACGCGCAGUCCUGCCGCCCGACGCGGAUGCGCGAUCCCGAGCGGGCCGACGGCGGGCGGAGCUGCGGGCGGGGCGUCGAGAGGCCGCUCCCCCGCCCCCACGCAGGCCCCGCCCCCGCGCGCGGCGCUGAGGGCACGGCGGGGCGCAGGCCGGCUGACGGGCGCGCGGCGGCUGCGGCGGGGGCCGAGGAGCGGGGCCGCUGGGGGCGGGGCGCCGGCCCGGUGGCGUUCCGCGCAGCGGAGGCGCUUGGCUUCUCGCCCGGGGAACGCGGCCUUUGGGGCUGGCGCCUCCCGCGCUGCCCCCGUCCGGCCGUGGCCGCCGCCGCUCGGCCGCCCUCAGGUACGCGGCCCGGCCUCGGCCCCGACCGGCGCGCGCCCCCGAGCCCUGCGUGCGCGCCCCCGAGCCCGCGAGGCCGCGCGUGAGUUUGGGCCGCCGGUUCCCGCGGCUGUCAGGCGCGGAGCGCUUUCGGCUCGUUACCCGGCGUUGGGGCUGCUGGCCGCGCUGGGGCUCCGGUGCCGGGACGCGCGGGCGGGCUGCUGGGCCGGACAGCCGGCGGCGCCCGGGGACGCGGCCUUCGGUGCCCGCCGGGAGUGUGCGCCUUUCCUCGGCGGCGUACCCCAGGACCGGGCGGGGCGAGGGCUCGGGGGCGCCCCCUCGCCGUCCCGGAGCCCCCGCCGCCUGAAGGGACGUGUCCCUCUCCCACCCGGAAGCCCGGGUUUGGAGCGGCGUCCGGCUUCCCGAGGCCGUGGUGGAGACGGUCUGGACUCUGCUGCUUCCAGCAGCCGCCCGGCACCGUCCCUGGUGGGGCAGGUGCAGAGGGAAGUGGCCUCCCCGGAGACCGCCGGCAGCCGGAAUGCACUAGACGCCGUGGCUGUUCCUCAAGCCGCGCUAGUUUGCAGGAAGUCUGAACAGGGUGCUUUGACACAGUCCUCCCACCUGCGGUCUUCUGUAACCGUCCCUCCGGGGACCCCCUCCUAA